AGGCUUGUAGCUCAGGUGGUUAGAGCACACCCCUGAUAAGGGUGAGGUCGGUGGUUCAAGUCCACUCAGGCCUACCA
This 77-nucleotide transfer RNA is filed under the name Escherichia coli. RNAcentral's name for it is "tRNA-Ile". It matches the Rfam family "tRNA". Rfam says of the family: Transfer RNA (tRNA) molecules are approximately 80 nucleotides in length. The record is from RNAcentral. Lineage: Bacteria; Pseudomonadati; Pseudomonadota; Gammaproteobacteria; Enterobacterales; Enterobacteriaceae. RNAcentral also lists the same sequence under 2 other names.